CCGAGUGGUGUGGAUGUUUAUUGGGCCUAAAGCAUCCGUAGCUGGCUGAGUUAGUCCCCUGUUAAAUCCACCGAAUCAAUCGUUGGAUUGCGGGGGAUACUGCUCGGCUAGGGGACGGGAGAGGCAGACGGUAUUUCCGGGGUAAGGGUGAAAUCUUAUAAUCCCGGGAAGACCACCAGUGGCGAAGGCUGUCGG
This 195-nucleotide ribosomal RNA is filed under the name uncultured crenarchaeote. Its description in RNAcentral is "partial 16S ribosomal RNA". It matches the Rfam family "Archaeal small subunit ribosomal RNA", at positions 484 to 679 of the family's 1478-position model. The record is from RNAcentral. Lineage: Archaea; Thermoproteati; Thermoproteota.